UCGGGAAUAUUGCGGCAAUGGAGGAAACUCUGACGCAGUGACGCCGCGUAUAGGAAGAAGGUUUUCGGAUUGUAAACUAUUGUCGUUAGGGAAGAAAAGAACAGUACCUAAGGAGGAAGCUCCGGCUAACUACGUGCCAGCAGCCGCGGUAAUACGUAGGGAGCAAGCGUUAUCCGGAUUUAUUGGGUGUAAAGGGUGCGUAGACGGGCAUGCAAGUUGGUUGUGAAAUCCCUCGGCUUAACUGAGGAACUGCAACCAAAACUGUGUGUCUUGAGUGCAGGAGAGGUAAGUGGAAUUCCUAGUGUAGCGGUGAAAUGCGUAGAUAUUAGGAGGAACACCAGUGGCGAAGGCGACUUACUGGACUGUAACUGACGUUGAGGCACGAAAGUGUGGGGAGCAAACAGGAUUAGAUACCCUGGUAGU
This 423-nucleotide ribosomal RNA is filed under the name uncultured Acetivibrio sp. RNAcentral describes it as "bacterial SSU rRNA". It matches the Rfam family "Bacterial small subunit ribosomal RNA", at positions 355 to 794 of the family's 1533-position model. Lineage: Bacteria; Bacillati; Bacillota; Clostridia; Acetivibrionales; Acetivibrionaceae. The record is from RNAcentral.